This 246-nucleotide long non-coding RNA is filed under the name Lathyrus oleraceus (garden pea). Its description in RNAcentral is "Pisum sativum (pea) long non-coding RNA (PSAT_LNC042358)". Lineage: Eukaryota; Viridiplantae; Streptophyta; Magnoliopsida; Fabales; Fabaceae. The record is from RNAcentral.
UGAUGAAAAUAACACCAAAACUAAAUUAAAAUAAAAUUCAAAAUAUAUUUUUCUAAAAAUAAUAAAGAAUCAACUGAAAAUGUAAUUAAUUCUAGUUAUUUUUUAUGAAUGUUUUGACUAAAAAAUAAAAAUAAAAUAAUUCAAAAUGAAUAAAAAACGGGCGCAAAAGUACCCAGAAAAUUAAAAUGAAUGCACCAUAAUGAUCGGUGUGAAAUAAACUUCUCAAAAUCAUACAGGUUGUUGUUA